RNAcentral lists this ribosomal RNA (1589 nucleotides) under Salmonella enterica. RNAcentral describes it as "partial 23S ribosomal RNA". It matches the Rfam family "Bacterial large subunit ribosomal RNA", at positions 1232 to 2803 of the family's 2925-position model. Lineage: Bacteria; Pseudomonadati; Pseudomonadota; Gammaproteobacteria; Enterobacterales; Enterobacteriaceae. The record is from RNAcentral.
GGGAGCGUUCUGUAAGCCUGUGAAGGUGUGUCGUGAGGCAUGCUGGAGGUAUCAGAAGUGCGAAUGCUGACAUAAGUAACGAUAAAGCGGGUGAAAAGCCCGCUCGCCGGAAGACCAAGGGUUCCUGUCCAACGUUAAUCGGGGCAGGGUGAGUCGACCCCUAAGGCGAGGCCGAAAGGCGUAGUCGAUGGGAAACGGGUUAAUAUUCCCGUACUUGGUGUUACUGCGAAGGGGGGACGGAGAAGGCUAUGUUGGCCGGGCGACGGUUGUCCCGGUUUAAGCGUGUAGGUGUGUGUUCCAGGUAAAUCCGGUUCACUUUAACACUGAGGCGUGACGACGAGGCACUACGGUGCUGAAGCAACAAAUGCCCUGCUUCCAGGAAAAGCCUCUAAGCAUCAGGUAACAUCAAAUCGUACCCCAAACCGACACAGGUGGUCAGGUAGAGAAUACCAAGGCGCUUGAGAGAACUCGGGUGAAGGAACUAGGCAAAAUGGUGCCGUAACUUCGGGAGAAGGCACGCUGACACGUAGGUGAAGUGAUUUACUCAUGGAGCUGAAGUCAGUCGAAGAUACCAGCUGGCUGCAACUGUUUAUUAAAAACACAGCACUGUGCAAACACGAAAGUGGACGUAUACGGUGUGACGCCUGCCCGGUGCCGGAAGGUUAAUUGAUGGGGUCAGCGCAAGCGAAGCUCCUGAUCGAAGCCCCGGUAAACGGCGGCCGUAACUAUAACGGUCCUAAGGUAGCGAAAUUCCUUGUCGGGUAAGUUCCGACCUGCACGAAUGGCGUAAUGAUGGCCAGGCUGUCUCCACCCGAGACUCAGUGAAAUUGAACUCGCUGUGAAGAUGCAGUGUACCCGCGGCAAGACGGAAAGACCCCGUGAACCUUUACUAUAGCUUGACACUGAACAUUGAGCCUUGAUGUGUAGGAUAGGUGGGAGGCUUUGAAGUGUGGACGCCAGUCUGCAUGGAGCCGACCUUGAAAUACCACCCUUUAAUGUUUGAUGUUCUAACGUGGACCCGUGAUCCGGGUUGCGGACAGUGUCUGGUGGGUAGUUUGACUGGGGCGGUCUCCUCCUAAAGAGUAACGGAGGAGCACGAAGGUUGGCUAAUCCUGGUCGGACAUCAGGAGGUUAGUGCAAUGGCAUAAGCCAGCUUGACUGCGAGCGUGACGGCGCGAGCAGGUGCGAAAGCAGGUCAUAGUGAUCCGGUGGUUCUGAAUGGAAGGGCCAUCGCUCAACGGAUAAAAGGUACUCCGGGGAUAACAGGCUGAUACCGCCCAAGAGUUCAUAUCGACGGCGGUGUUUGGCACCUCGAUGUCGGCUCAUCACAUCCUGGGGCUGAAGUAGGUCCCAAGGGUAUGGCUGUUCGCCAUUUAAAGUGGUACGCGAGCUGGGUUUAGAACGUCGUGAGACAGUUCGGUCCCUAUCUGCCGUGGGCGCUGGAGAACUGAGGGGGGCUGCUCCUAGUACGAGAGGACCGGAGUGGACGCAUCACUGGUGUUCGGGUUGUCAUGCCAAUGGCACUGCCCGGUAGCUAAAUGCGGAAGAGAUAAGUGCUGAAAGCAUCUAAGCACGAAACUUGCCCCGAG